AUGGGAAACACAGUAGUCUGGACUUUGCUUUUUGUUGUCACUGUACAGGGCAUUUAUGGACAGACUUUGACUGAGUCUGAACCUGUGGUUAAAAGGCCUGAAGAUUCCCACAGGCUGACCUGUACAGCCUCUGGAUUCACAUUCAGCAGCUCCUGGAUGGGCUGGAUCAGACAGGCUCCUGGAAAAGGACUGGAGUGGGUUGCCACUAUCAGAUAUGACAGUGGUGAAAUCUAUUACUCUCAGUCAGUCAGAGGCCGGUUUACCAUCUCCAGAGACAACAACAGACAGCAGGUGUAUCUGCAGAUGAACAGUCUGAAGACUGAAGAUUCUGUUGUU
This is a non-coding RNA of Oreochromis aureus, 336 nucleotides long. The record is from the annotation of a RefSeq genome assembly. NCBI's taxonomy places the organism in Eukaryota, Metazoa, Chordata, Actinopteri, Cichliformes, Cichlidae.